GGCGUGCCUAAUACAUGCAAGUAGAACGCUGAAGAGAGGAGCUUGCUCUUCUUGGAUGAGUUGCGAACGGGUGAGUAACGCGUAGGUAACCUGCCUUGUAGCGGGGGAUAACUAUUGGAAACGAUAGCUAAUACCGCAUAACAAUAGGUGACACAUGUCAUUUAUUUGAAAGGGGCAAUUGCUCCACUACAAGAUGGACCUGCGUUGUAUUAGCUAGUAGGUGAGGUAACGGCUCACCUAGGCGACGAUACAUAGCCGACCUGAGAGGGUGAUCGGCCACACUGGGACUGAGACACGGCCCAGACUCCUACGGGAGGCAGCAGUAGGGAAUCUUCGGCAAUGGGGGCAACCCUGACCGAGCAACGCCGCGUGAGUGAAGAAGGUUUUCGGAUCGUAAAGCUCUGUUGUAAGUCAAGAACGAGUGUGAGAGUGGAAAGUUCACACUGUGACGGUAGCUUACCAGAAAGGGACGGCUAACUACGUGCCAGCAGCCGCGGUAAUACGUAGGUCCCGAGCGUUGUCCGGAUUUAUUGGGCGUAAAGCGAGCGCAGGCGGUUUGAUAAGUCUGAAGUUAAAGGCUGUGGCUCAACCAUAGUUCGCUUUGGAAACUGUCAAACUUGAGUGCAGAAGGGGAGAGUGGAAUUCCAUGUGUAGCGGUGAAAUGCGUAGAUAUAUGGAGGAACACCGGUGGCGAAAGCGGCUCUCUGGUCUGUAACUGACGCUGAGGCUCGAAAGCGUGGGGAGCGAACAGGAUUAGAUACCCUGGUAGUCCACGCCGUAAACGAUGAGUGCUAGGUGUUGGAUCCUUUCCGGGAUUCAGUGCCGCAGCUAACGCAUUAAGCACUCCGCCUGGGGAGUACGACCGCAAGGUUGAAACUCAAAGGAAUUGACGGGGGCCCGCACAAGCGGUGGAGCAUGUGGUUUAAUUCGAAGCAACGCGAAGAACCUUACCAGGUCUUGACAUCCCGAUGCUAUUUCUAGAGAUAGAAAGUUACUUCGGUACAUCGGUGACAGGUGGUGCAUGGUUGUCGUCAGCUCGUGUCGUGAGAUGUUGGGUUAAGUCCCGCAACGAGCGCAACCCCUAUUGUUAGUUGCCAUCAUUCAGUUGGGCACUCUAGCGAGACUGCCGGUAAUAAACCGGAGGAAGGUGGGGAUGACGUCAAAUCAUCAUGCCCCUUAUGACCUGGGCUACACACGUGCUACAAUGGUUGGUACAACGAGUUGCGAGUCGGUGACGGCAAGCUAAUCUCUUAAAGCCAAUCUCAGUUCGGAUUGUAGGCUGCAACUCGCCUACAUGAAGUCGGAAUCGCUAGUAAUCGCGGAUCAGCACGCCGCGGUGAAUACGUUCCCGGGCCUUGUACACACCGCCCGUCACACCACGAGAGUUUGUAACACCCGAAGUCGGUGAGGUAACCUUUUGGAGCCAGCCGCCUAAGGUGGGAUAGAUGAUUGG
This 1453-nucleotide ribosomal RNA is filed under the name uncultured organism. Its description in RNAcentral is "SSU rRNA". It matches the Rfam family "Bacterial small subunit ribosomal RNA". The record is from RNAcentral.